GUGCCAGCCGCCGCGGUAAUACGUAGGAGGCAAACGUUGUCCGGAUUUACUGGGUGUAAAGGGUGCUCAGGCGGUCUUGUAAGUCAGUGGUGAAAUCCCGGGGCUCAACUCCGGAACUGCCUUUGAUACUGCAAGGCUUGAGUAUGGAAGAGGUGGAUGGAAUUUCUGGUGUAGCAGUGAAAUGCGUAGAUAUCAGAAAGAACACCAGUGGCGAAGGCGGUCUACUGGUCCAUUACUGACGCUAAAGCACGAAAGCGUGGGGAGCAAACAGGAUUAGAAACCCCCGUAGUCC
Molecule: ribosomal RNA, 292 nt
Filed under: uncultured bacterium
Lineage: Bacteria
Description: partial 16S ribosomal RNA
Rfam family: Bacterial small subunit ribosomal RNA
Source: RNAcentral